Molecule: ribosomal RNA, 423 nt
Filed under: uncultured bacterium
Lineage: Bacteria
Description: bacterial SSU rRNA
Rfam family: Bacterial small subunit ribosomal RNA
Source: RNAcentral
GGGCCCGCACAAGCGGUGGAGCAUGUGGUUUAAUUCGAUGAUACGCGAGGAACCUUACCAGGACUUAAAUGUAAGUUGCAUGAUUCAGAAAUGAAUCUUUCUUCGGACUACUUACAAGGUGCUGCAUGGUUGUCGUCAGCUCGUGCCGUGAGGUGUCAGGUUAAGUCCCGCAACGAGCGCAACCCACGUCUUUAGUUGCCAGCAUUUAGUUGGGCACUCUAGAGAGACUGCCGGUGAUAAACCGGAGGAAGGUGUGGAUGACGUCAAGUCAUCAUGCCCCUUACAUCCUGGGCUACACACGUACUACAAUGCUACGGACAAAGGGCAGCAAGUUCGCGAGGACAAGCAAAUCCCAUAAACCGUGGCUCAGUUCAGAUCGUAGGCUGCAACUCGCCUACGUGAAGGCGGAAUCGCUAGUAAUCG